RNAcentral lists this transfer RNA (73 nucleotides) under Marmota marmota marmota (Alpine marmot). It matches the Rfam family "tRNA". From Rfam's summary of the family: Transfer RNA (tRNA) molecules are approximately 80 nucleotides in length. Their secondary structure includes four short double-helical elements and three loops (D, anti-codon, and T loops). The record is from Rfam by way of RNAcentral. Lineage: Eukaryota; Metazoa; Chordata; Mammalia; Rodentia; Sciuridae. RNAcentral also lists the same sequence under 1 other name.
GUGGAUGUAGCUCAGUGUGAGAGCAGUUGCCUAGUGUGCAUGAGGCCCUGGGUUCCUUCCCCAGCAUCAUACA